GCCAAUCAGGGCUCUGGUUGAAAGUAGUGCACUACUACAGUAACCACAGAGGGUUUAGCCAAUCAGGGCUCUGGUUGAAAGUAGUGCACUACUACAGUAACCACAGAGGGGUUAGCCAAUCAGAGCUCUGUUUGAAAGUAGUGCACUACUACAGUAACCACAGAGGGUUUAGCCAAUCAGGGCUCUGGUUAAAAGUAGUGCACUACUACAGUAACCACAGAGGGGUUAGCCAAUCAGCUCUGGUUAAAAGUAGUGCACUAUAUAGGGAAUAGUGCUCCAUUUGGGGAGUAGUUCAUCUGGUUGUAGGUAGUGUACUAUAUAGGGAACAGGGCUCCAUUUGGGGAGUAGUUCAUCUGGUUGUAGGUAGUGUACUAUAUAGGGAACAGGGCUCCAUUUGGGGAGUAGUUCAUCUGGUUGUAGGUAGUGUACUAUAUAGGGAACAGGGCUCCAUUUGGGGAGUAGUUCAUGUAAAUACAAAAUAUAUAAUGUCAUUUUUUUUCCCACAGCAGAAGAAUGGAUGUUUUUUUUAAAAACUUGCAUCUUGAGCUGCUUUUCUAUUUACUAAUAUAUUUAAAUGUUGUGCUUAUUUAUUUCUGUUGAUUUGUUGUCUUCUAUGUGGACAGGGACAGGAAAGAGACCUGUUUAUUUGGUUUGUUAAAUACGUCUUUUCACAACGUU
This is a long non-coding RNA of Oncorhynchus tshawytscha (Chinook salmon), 678 nucleotides long. RefSeq lists it as uncharacterized. The record is from RefSeq and is a predicted model, not a curated record. Lineage: Eukaryota; Metazoa; Chordata; Actinopteri; Salmoniformes; Salmonidae. The transcript is spliced from 3 exons.